This is a long non-coding RNA of Solanum tuberosum (potato), 764 nucleotides long. RefSeq lists it as uncharacterized. NCBI's taxonomy places the organism in Eukaryota, Viridiplantae, Streptophyta, Magnoliopsida, Solanales, Solanaceae. The record is from RefSeq and is a predicted model, not a curated record. The transcript has 2 exons.
AUAUCAGAAAACCUCCCUAACCUAAUCCCCUAAAAAAGAUCAGCCACUCCCUUUCAAUUUCUCUCUAUUCGAUUUCAGAAAAUUUCCAAAAUGCUUUCGGUAAAAGCAGGACUAUGUUCUUCCAUUUUUGUGCAAAAUUGUAGUGCUUUGAAAUUCUCUCUUUCAUAUUCAACUGAUCAAUCAACACAAGAAGCCAAAAGACUUUUUGAAAAUAUGAUUUUUUUAAUGUAGAAAAUCACUUUAGCAACUUCAAACGACUCAUUUUGGGACUCCAAGAUCUACCCGUGACCUCCCUACUCUGUAAAAUUUGAAUUUAAAAAAUAAAAAAUUUGUCUUACCAUUCUUUUCCUAUAACUACUUCCUCAUCUUCAACAAAGGAGAAACUUUUCUUAAUCAUAAGAACAUCAUACAUGGUGGAAGUUAUUUAUAACGUUUAGCUAUCACCAUCCAUGCCAAAAUUCUUGUAUUUUCUGUUUGCUUUUAUCGAACUCAUUAGGUUCGAGGGGUGAAUCUGAUCAUAACAAGAGAGUAGAUUCUACGCCGACGUCCUAGUUCACUACACUACAAAAGGUACGAAGACUUGAUGUUUGGGUACAAGAAGUGGCAUAUCACCAAAAGGAACCAAGAAGGAUGGACAUAACAAAAUUUCUUUUACUUUAUUUUAAAAGUACUUUACGUUGUAUUCAUUCGACAUGUUUUGUACCUUAUUUUGAUUUUUUUUUAUUUAAUUAAUCAACAGUAAUGGGAUGACAUAUUAUGACAAA